This 233-nucleotide unclassified non-coding RNA is filed under the name Hevea brasiliensis (rubber tree). Lineage: Eukaryota; Viridiplantae; Streptophyta; Magnoliopsida; Malpighiales; Euphorbiaceae. The record is from RNAcentral.
CUGUCGAAGUCGCUUGUUUACACCGGACUAAUUUUGAAUCCGGUGGGGAGCACAGUAAUAUCCUACAACCAACAACCGUCCGAUGAGUAUUACAUAAAUUUGACCAGCAUUAAAGUCAACGGAAAAGCCGUUGAAGUCAACAUCUCGCAGCUGGCCAUCGAUGAGAACGGGUUUGGAGGAACGAAGCUCAGCACCGACACUGCAUAUACCACUUUAGAAAGUUCUAUUUACCA